GAUGGUUUUUAGCUCACCUCGACGAAGUCGAGAUGAGCUUAUGCUAUACCCCCGGCGUUGGCGUCGGCGUUAGCGUCGGCUGACCAGGUUAAGGUUUUUUGAGCAGGUCCAUUCCCUAGUAGCUAUAAGUCCUACCUGAACCAAACUUGCAUGGAUGAUGCAUCUAGGGAUGUACACUACCAGACUUGCUUCGGAUGCUGGAUCUGACCUACAUUUCCCAGAUGAGUGACCAGGUUAACGUUUUUGGAGCAGGUUAACGUUUUUGGAGCAGGUCCAUUACCAAGUAACUAUAAGCCCUUCCUUGACUAAAUUUGCAUGGAUGAUGCGUCUAGGGAUGGGCACUACCAGACUUGCUUCGGAUGCUGGAUCUGACCUACAUUUUCCAGAUGAGUGACCAGGUUAAAGUUUUUGGAGCAGGUCCAUUCCCAAGUAACUAUAAGCCCUACCUGGACCAAACUUGCACGCAUGAUGCUUCUAGGAAUGGACACUCCCAGACUUGUUUCGGAUGCUGGAUCUGACCUACAUUUUCCAGAUGAGUGACCAGGUUAAAGUUUUUGGAGCAGGUCCAUUUCCAAGUAACUAUAAGCCCUUCCUGGACCAAUCUUCCAUGGAUGAUGCAUCUUGGGAUGGACACUACCAGGCAUGCUUCGGAUUCUGGAUCUGACCUACAUUUUCCAGAUGAGUGACCAGGUUAAAGUUUUUGGAGCAGGUCCAUUCCCAAGUAACUAUAAGCCCUACCUGAACCAAACUUGCAUGGAUGAUGCAUCUAGGGAUGGACACUACCAGACUUGCUUCGGAUGCUGGAUCUGACCUACAUUUUCCAGAUGAGUAACCAGGUUAAAGUAUUUAGAGCAGGUCCAUUUCCAAGUAACUAUAAGCCCUACCUGGACCAAACUUGCAUGGAUGAUGCAUCUAGGGAUUGGCACUACCAGACUUGCUUCGGAUGCUGGAUCUGACCUACAUUUUCCAGAUGAGUGACCUGGUUAACGUUUUUUUGGAGCAGGUCCAUUUCCAAGUAACUAUAAGCCCUACCUGGACCAAACUUGCAUGGAUGAUGUAUCUAGGGAUUGGCACUACCGGACUUGCUUCGGAUGCUGGAUAUGACAUAUAUUUUCCAAAUGAGUAACCAUGACAAUGUGUUUGGAGUAGCUCUAUAAUUAUUUAUAUGGCCUGUUAUGAUUUAACUUGCAUAGAUGGUGCAUUCCAGACUUGCUUUGGAUGUAGGAAAUGAAAGACAUUUUCUUGAUUAGUGAACAGGUUAAAGUUUUUGGAACAGGUCAAUUCCCAACGAACUAUAAGACCUACUUACACAGAACUUGCAUGAAUAUUGUUUUCAGGAUGCACACUAACUAUAAAGAAACUAUGAUGUGAGAUUUGCAUUACUUUUACUGAUAACAUUCGUCGA
Molecule: long non-coding RNA, 1405 nt
Organism: Saccostrea echinata
Lineage: Eukaryota; Metazoa; Mollusca; Bivalvia; Ostreida; Ostreidae
Exons: 3
Source: RefSeq, a predicted model, not a curated record